GAUGAACGCUGGCGGCGUGCCUAACACAUGCCAGUCGAGCGGCAGCGAGGGGUGCUUGCACCCUGUCGGCGAGCGGCGGACGGCUGAGUAACGCGUGGGAACGUGCCCCAAAGUGAGGAAUAACUGCCCGAAAGGGUAGCUAAUACCGCAUAUUAUCUUCGGAUCAAAGGAUUUAUCCGCUUUGGGAGCGGCUCGCGUCGGAUUAGGUAGUUGGUGAGGUAAUGGCUCACCAAGCCGACGAUCCGUAGCUGGUCUGAGAGGAUGACCAGCCAGACUGGAACUGAGACACGGUCCAGACUCCUACGGGAGGCAGCAGUGAGGAAUCUUCCACAAUGGGCGAAAGCCUGAUGGAGCAACGCCGCGUGCAGGACGAAGGCCUUCGGGUUGUAAACUGCUUUUAUAAGUGAGGAAUAUGACGGUAACUUAUGAAUAAGGAGCGGCUAACUACGUG
RNAcentral lists this ribosomal RNA (451 nucleotides) under uncultured bacterium. RNAcentral describes it as "partial 16S ribosomal RNA". It matches the Rfam family "Bacterial small subunit ribosomal RNA", at positions 28 to 507 of the family's 1533-position model. The record is from RNAcentral.